RNAcentral lists this long non-coding RNA (2532 nucleotides) under Gallus gallus (chicken). RNAcentral describes it as "lncRNA (ENSGALG00010014398.1)". Lineage: Eukaryota; Metazoa; Chordata; Aves; Galliformes; Phasianidae. The record is from RNAcentral.
ACUCCAUGACUUGGAAACUGCUGUUUUAUCUGUAGUUUUCAAGUUUGUAUGCACAUGUCACAUUACCAUGUGAUGUGAAACAUGAGUUCCAUUAUUUGUAAUUGUACAAUUAAAAGAAAACUGGCAUCAGUGGGGUCAGCGCAGUUCUCAGAAUAAGAAGCCUAACCGUUUAUUAUUUCUCGUCUCUUCUGGCCUACCACAGAAGUAGGUAUUGUAGGAUUUGGAUAAAACAAUGACUUAAAAUUAGUUGGUAACUAUUUUGUUUUCUUUUGAAGUCCAGUUCUUUUGCAAGGCACUCUAGUAAAAUACUAGAAGAGAAUUUUGAGCACGUUUACUUGAUAAUGUCCUUUUAAUCAUUUGGGUUUUUUUGGGUUUUUUUGGGUUUUUUUUUUUUGAUUGUGCCUUUUACAUAUAUUCUGAAUAAUGGCUUUUCCUGUAAUUAGUUGAUUAUUCAGAAAGAGUUAAGGUCAAUAUCUUUGGAAGGGCUUUGUGUUUUUGGAUGCCCAACAAGGAACAGACUAUAAAAAGGAAAAAAUGAGCUCUAUCUUCACUGUUUGGAUGGCCAGAAAUGCUAGUCAUUCCUGGGGAAACAAAACAAAACAAAAAACAAUAUACUAGUCCUUUGAUGUUCUUUUGUUUGCAGAUAAUCAGACUAGUUAAUGUUUUAACCUGCUGGUCAGGCUGAUCAUUGCCAGUUGACAGUGAAAAAAAAAAUAGGAAAGCUUACGUGCUGGAUGCAUAGUUUUUAUUUUUAAUAUCAUCAGCUGUAACUGUUACGGCUUUACAUCUAUUCGUGUAUAAGCUAUGUAAAUUUUCAUGGACUGGUAUUCAUUUGGUUGGUGGAAGUAGCUGAUCUCUUAUGGCAGGUGGUUCCUUUUGAGAGUUCUGGAGUUGGAAGGACAGAGCUUUGAACCUCACAGCUGCGUGGGUCAAAACUCCUUAAGUGUCUAGUACAUCCAUUUUAAUAUGUGUGUGUACUCUUAAAAUAGUCAUAUCCUGUUAACCUGGAGGGCAUUUUUACACUACAAGCUGUGUUGUGUCUGGCAGUAAUCGAUCCAGUUGACUGUUAAUUGCCAAAGAAGGAAGAAGGAGGUCUCUCAAAUGUCUAAGGAAUGAUGAGUGGCGCAUUGAAAGAUGUUGGUCUUUUCCACGUGCUGACCUUUGGGGAGAAGGAUUGGACUCCACAUUGGUGCUCCAGACUUCUGUGUAGUUCUGAGAACCUACUGCACUCAUUCUGUAAACACUGCAUUCUGUGGGUUUUGCUAAACAAAUUUGGUAAUUUCUAGCUGUUGACUGGACUACCGUCCUUUCCUUAAAUUGAUUUUUCUAUUCAGUUUUAUUUAUUUAUAUUGGAAUUUACUCCUUGAGCACUGACACUUUUCCUACAGAGGUAUGGUUGUCAUGGCUUGUUUUUAUUCUGAACAUGAGAAAUUAUAAUGGUGAUGAUGCAUCUUCUGUAAGGCUUUGGUUUCCUUAAAACGUAUAGUGCUACUUCAGUCCGGAUUAUUAUUGGGGUAGCUAUUUUUAAAGACGUGUCUGGCCAAAACACUAUCACGAAAGACGGACUUGCUGUCAUUAAAGAGCUAAACUUAUUUUCAUAGUAAUAAAUACGAAAGAGUAUUCAGAACACUGAGGAAUGAUUUUUCAGUUCAAUUAAAAAAUAGUAAUAAUUAUAUCGGUGUAGAAACUUGCACAAAGAAAAAUGACUGAAUUCUGAGAAGGUUAUUGCUGAUGAUUUUUUUUCUUCCCCUUGAAAACAACAGCAAGAAAUGUGUUUUUUUUCUUGUGUUGAGCACACACACAUGCUAGAUUCCACUCUGCACAUCGUACAUUUAUUGUAGUGCAUUAGUGCAUUGUCACCUGUAAUCUUUUUUUUUUAAUUUCAUCAUCUCAAAGUGAUUUGGUUGUUUCAUCAUAUGCAUAGUGCAGGGCAGUCACUGUGUGAAGCCCAUAGCGAUCGUUCGCAUAGUUUGUAAGAAAUGGUUUGGUAUAAAGGGAUUUGAAGCAUUAAAUGACACUUUUUUUUUUUUUUUUUUAAUCCCCCUGUACCAUUUUGCUCUUGUUAAAAUGUUGCUCCUUUUAUAUGAAACAAUAAGGUGAAAGAAACUCAAUAUUUUGUCACUGGUAUAUGAAAUACUGUGUUUUAAAUGUGGUCUGUAUAGGUUGGUAUUUUAGAUGGAAGUCUUUAAAGUUGUCUUUUUUGGAGAAAUUCUUUGCUGUAAGGAAAAGUUAGGAAGUGUACUGUAAAUGUAGGGGUACUCAGUCCAACGUGUAGUUUUUUUUGUUAUGGAAAAGUAAAGUUCUUUUGUCUUAACAUGGCUCGCUUCACAGGGCUUCUUGCAGUGGUGCUUGCUCUGUUUUGGUUUCUGCCUUGUCACUUGGAGCAGUAUAGGAACACACUAUGGAAACACAGCGCUCUCUGUGUCUUUUUACUUUUACAACUCCUGAAGGAUAAACAAAGAUGAGGCAACAUUUUCGUCGCUCUUGUGUGUGUUACUUUUUAUUUUAAAAUAUUUUGUAAAUUAAAUUUAU